Molecule: long non-coding RNA, 505 nt
Organism: Oxyura jamaicensis (ruddy duck)
Lineage: Eukaryota; Metazoa; Chordata; Aves; Anseriformes; Anatidae
Exons: 4
Source: RefSeq, a predicted model, not a curated record
AAGAUGCUUGUUCGUUUUCUGGAAAAUACUGAGUCUUUGCCACCGUUCUCAGGGAGAAGAAAUACUAGGUUUUAGAGCAGCAUUCUUUGCAGCUAAGCACCAGACAGAUGGAAAAAUCGCUACCAAGAAGCUGGGGCUUGCCAGAGGUCACUCCUGCAGUUAGAUCAACAAUUGGAGUUGAUCUGAUAACAGAUGGAAAAACUGAAAAAUUGCCUCCGCUUCAUUAAAGCCCCUCACAAGACUCUUAUAUAAGGGGCUGUGCAGAGAUCACUAAGGCUCAUCAUGGAGUCAGCCACCUGAUGGCAUCUGGUCACGUCCUAAAAGGUACCGACUUUGAGCUAGCAAGCAAUUAAAUAUAAAAAUCCUACAGAAUGUAAGUUAUGCGGUCUCCGGCAAAGUCACUGCAGGUGUUUUCUGCUCUUAACCUUGCUGAGUUCAGUAGCGUGGAAUUAUCACACGGGAGCAGCUGCUUAGUUCCAUGUGAUUGGGAAAAAGUGCUUUGUCA